GAUCCGAUGGCACAACGGUUAGUGCAUCUGCUAUGCAUGGGCCGACCACGAUCAUUCUUCAGCAGAAGGUCCCCGUUCGACUCGGGGUCGGGUCA
Mycena latifolia is the source of this 95-nucleotide non-coding RNA. NCBI's taxonomy places the organism in Eukaryota, Fungi, Basidiomycota, Agaricomycetes, Agaricales, Mycenaceae. The record is from the annotation of a GenBank genome assembly.